CGAAUUUAUCCUCAUCUUCUUCAAUUAAACACGAUAUCUACUUCUUCCCUCUCCUACACAUGUUGUUCACUUUCAAUACCUUCCUCUCUCAUCAAAUCCAAAAGAACCGCCACAAGGAUCACGCCGAAUCUCGAUUACAAGAUCCGACAAUGGAGUCAGUACAAACGAAAGUGGGAUUCGUGGAUAGGAGGCCACUCAGGCCAGCAGGUAAAGUUCUAAAGGUGUCAUGGGGCUCGCCGAGAUGGCCCGCAAAUCUGGUUCACGAGCGGGUAGCUUCUCUGAUCCAACUCCCUCCGAAUGACGCAGUUGAAGCUCUGUCGCCGUGGCUAUCGCCUCCGUCAGAUCAUCUUCUUCGCAGAGCAGGGGUCAGGCUCUGAUCAGGAUCACAAAGGUCCCCGUCAGGAUGAAGGUGCUGGGCUAAAGAGAGAGAGAGUGAUCAACGAGCGAAGUGGGGAAAGAACACAUGAUUUUUUUUAUUAUUAUUAUUAAUUCUCCAAAUUGCACAUAUCCUAUGAUGAUCUAUCCCACUCCCAAAAAAAAAAAAGUAUCCGAAGUUUUAUCUAAACCAUCAAAUGCAGC
Molecule: long non-coding RNA, 579 nt
Filed under: Eucalyptus grandis
Lineage: Eukaryota; Viridiplantae; Streptophyta; Magnoliopsida; Myrtales; Myrtaceae
Description: long non-coding RNA (EGRA_LNC003769)
Source: RNAcentral